Molecule: ribosomal RNA, 742 nt
Filed under: Salmonella enterica
Lineage: Bacteria; Pseudomonadati; Pseudomonadota; Gammaproteobacteria; Enterobacterales; Enterobacteriaceae
Description: partial 23S ribosomal RNA
Rfam family: Bacterial large subunit ribosomal RNA
Source: RNAcentral
AGACCCGAAACCCGGUGAUCUAGCCAUGGGCAGGUUGAAGGUUGGGUAACACUAACUGGAGGACCGAACCGACUAAUGUUGAAAAAUUAGCGGAUGACCUGUGGCUGGGGGUGAAAGGCCAAUCAAACCGGGAGAUAGCUGGUUCUCCCCGAAAGCUAUUUAGGUAGCGCCUCGUGAAUUCAUCUCCGGGGGUAGAGCACUGUUUCGGCUAGGGGGCCAUCCCGGCUUACCAACCCGAUGCAAACUGCGAAUACCGGAGAAUGUUAUCACGGGAGACACACGGCGGGUGCUAACGUCCGUCGUGAAGAGGGAAACAACCCAGACCGCCAGCUAAGGUCCCAAAGUCAUGGUUAAGUGGGAAACGAUGUGGGAAGGCCCAGACAGCCAGGAUGUUGGCUUAGAAGCAGCCAUCAUUUAAAGAAAGCGUAAUAGCUCACUGGUCGAGUCGGCCUGCGCGGAAGAUGUAACGGGGCUAAACCAUGCACCGAAGCUGCGGCAGCGACGCUGAUGCGUUGUUGGGUAGGGGAGCGUUCUGUAAGCCUGCGAAGGUGGCCUGUGAGGGUUGCUGGAGGUAUCAGAAGUGCGAAUGCUGACAUAAGUAACGAUAAAGCGGGUGAAAAGCCCGCUCGCCGGAAGACCAAGGGUUCCUGUCCAACGUUAAUCGGGGCAGGGUGAGUCGACCCCUAAGGCGAGGCCGAAAGGCGUAGUCGAUGGGAAACGGGUUAAUAUUCCCGUACUUGGU